This 496-nucleotide ribosomal RNA is filed under the name uncultured bacterium. Its description in RNAcentral is "partial 16S ribosomal RNA". It matches the Rfam family "Bacterial small subunit ribosomal RNA", at positions 29 to 507 of the family's 1533-position model. The record is from RNAcentral.
AUGAACGCUGGCGGCGUGCCUAAUACAUGCAAGUCGAGCGAACAGACGAGGAGCUUGCUCCUCUGACGUUAGCGGCGGACGGGUGAGUAACACGUGGAUAACCUACCUAUAAGACUGGGAUAACUUCGGGAAACCGGAGCUAAUACCGGAUAAUAUAUUGAACCGCAUGGUUCAAUAGUGAAAGACGGUUUUGCUGUCACUUAUAGAUGGAUCCGCGCCGCAUUAGCUAGUUGGUAAGGUAACGGCUUACCAAGGCGACGAUGCGUAGCCGACCUGAGAGGGUGAUCGGCCACACUGGAACUGAGACACGGUCCAGACUCCUACGGGAGGCAGCAGUAGGGAAUCUUCCGCAAAGGGCGAAAGCCUGACGGAGCAACACCGCGUGAGUGAUGAAGGUCUUCGGAUCGUAAAGCUCUGUUAUUAGGGAAGAACAAAUGUGUAAGUAACUAUGCACGUCUUGACGGUACCUAAUCAGAAAGCCACGGCUAACUACGUG